GAUGAACGCUAGCGGCAGGCCUAAUACAUGCAAGUCGAACGGUAACAGGAGAGCUUGCUCUCGCUGACGAGUGGCGCACGGGUGCGUAACGCGUACACAACUUGCCCUUUGGAGGAGGAUAGCCCCGGGAAACUGGGAGUAAUACUCCAUGGUAAUACUAAAAUGCCUAUUUAAGUAUUUAAAGCUCCGGCGCCAAAGGAUAGGUGUGCGUCCGAUUAGUUAGUUGGUAGGGUAACGGCCUACCAAGACCACGAUCGGUAGGGGCGUGAGAGCGCGAUCCCCCACACGGGCACUGAGACACGGGCCCGACUCCUACGGGAGGCAGCAGUAAGGAAUAUUGGUCAAUGGGGGCAACCCUGAACCAGCCAUGCCGCGUGCAGGACGACUGCCCUAUGGGUUGUAAACUGCUUUUAUAAAGGAAGAAUCGCAUGGAUUUUAUCCGUGUUUGACGGUACUUUAUGAAUAAGCACCGGCUAACUCCGUGCCAGCGCCGCGGUAA
This 499-nucleotide ribosomal RNA is filed under the name uncultured bacterium. RNAcentral's name for it is "bacterial SSU rRNA". It matches the Rfam family "Bacterial small subunit ribosomal RNA", at positions 28 to 523 of the family's 1533-position model. The record is from RNAcentral.